This 469-nucleotide ribosomal RNA is filed under the name uncultured bacterium. Its description in RNAcentral is "partial 16S ribosomal RNA". It matches the Rfam family "Bacterial small subunit ribosomal RNA", at positions 28 to 507 of the family's 1533-position model. The record is from RNAcentral.
GACGAACGCUGGCGGCGUGCUUAACACAUGCAAGUCGAACGGAAAGGCCCUGCUUGCAGGGUGCUCGAGUGGCGAACGGGUGAGUAACACGUGGGUGAUCUGCCCCUUACUUUGGGAUAAGCCUGGGAAACUGGGUCUAAUACUGGAUAGGACCAUGCUGUAGGUGGUGUGGUGGAAAGAUUAGUUUCGGUAAGGGAUGAGCUCGCGGCCUAUCAGCUUGUUGGUGGGGUAAUGGCCUACCAAGGCGUCGACGGGUAGCCGGCCUGAGAGGGUGGACGGCCACAUUGGGACAGAGAUACGGCCCAGACUCCUACGGGAGGCAGCAGUGGGGAAUAUUGCACAAUGGGCGCAAGCCUGAUGCAGCGACGCCGCGUGGGGGAUGACGGCCUUCGGGUUGUAAACUCCUUUCAGCCAUGACGAAGCCCUUGUGGUGACGGUAGUGGUAGAAGAAGCACCGGCUAACUACGUG